GAACCCUUGGCACAGUGGUAGCGCGUGAGAUUCCAGUAUGGGAAAUCCUCAAGGUCGUCCGUUCAAUCCGGGCAGGGUUCA
Non-coding RNA from Cerioporus squamosus, 81 nucleotides. The record is from the annotation of a GenBank genome assembly. NCBI's taxonomy places the organism in Eukaryota, Fungi, Basidiomycota, Agaricomycetes, Polyporales, Polyporaceae.